Molecule: RNA transcript, 1481 nt
Organism: Coffea arabica (coffee)
Lineage: Eukaryota; Viridiplantae; Streptophyta; Magnoliopsida; Gentianales; Rubiaceae
Gene name: uroporphyrinogen-III synthase, chloroplastic
Source: RefSeq, a predicted model, not a curated record
GGGUUGCAGCUGGCUCUUUCGCCCGAUUUUCCUAGCUCCACGUUUACCACAAUAAUGCCUUGGCUUUCUCUCACCUCCUCCUCUCUUCAUCUUCCUCCUCCUCUUGCUCCGUCGUCGUCGUCGUCCUCUCUGCAAUUUCGCAGGAUAACGUGCCUGCGUGCUUCGUCUUCAGUUAAUUCGGCGUCGUCUGCUUCCUCAACGUCGCAGCCGAAAGUCGUGGUCACUAGAGAGCGUGGCAAAAACGCGAAGCUCAUAAAUGCUCUGGGGAAACAUGGAAUUGAUUGUCUAGAGCUUCCUCUUAUCCAGCAUGAGCUGUUACCUGAUUCAAACAGGCUGUCGUGUUUGUUAAGUGAGACUGCUUUUGACUGGGUCAUCGUAACUUCACCGGAAGCAGGAACAGUUUUCCUUGAUGCUUGGAAAGCAGCAGGUACCCCAAAUGUUAAGGUUGGUGUCGUUGGUGGUGGUACAGCUAGUAUAUUUGAAAAAGCUGCACAACAAUCAAAACAGUACCUACAUGUUGCUUUUGCACCAUCAAAAGCUACCGGCAAAAUUUUGGCUUCAGAGCUUCCAAAGCAUGGAAAUGAAAGAUGUAGUGUCCUAUAUCCUGCUUCAGCAAAAGCUAGCAGUGAUAUUGAGGAAGGUCUUUCGGAGCGUGGAUUUGAGGUCAUUCGGCUUAAUACAUACACAACGGUACCUGUGGAUCAAGUUGAUCAGAUGGUUUUGAGACAGGCACUUGCGGCUCCUGUUGUUGCUGUGGCAUCACCUUCUGCUCUGCGGGCUUGGAUUAAUCUUAUUCCAGAACUGGAGAGGUGGGGUAAUGCUGUUGCUUGUAUUGGCGAGACAACUGCUUCGGCUGCAAAAAGACUAGGGUUAACAAAUGUAUACUAUCCAGUAGAUCCUGGUCUUGAUGGGUUCAAGUCGCCCCAGUGCCUCAGCUAUGCAAUGGUCUGAAGCCAGUACUUUUAAAGCUUUCCAGGCUCAUCUAUGCCAAUUCUCCAAUUCUCAAGUCCUCUUCGAUUGUGGUCUUCCACCUGGGUUGACAGCAUUGUGGAAGCUUUGAAAGUUCAGGAGCAAGUCCAGAGAGUCUAAUAGUCCUUUCUGAAUGGCUUUUCCACCUUUCCAGGUGAAGACUGUAAAAGUAGUGCAUCAUUCAGGAUGGACUGUAUGCUUCUAGGAACACUUGAGAGAGAGCGAGAAGAUUGUGGACAAUUUAACGGGAAAAUGUUGAUUGUUCUGCUUAUGAGCAAGCCCAUUUUUCUAUGGGACAAGGAAGGUGUAGCUUAGAGAUCUGAGACACGGGGGGCUGGAAAAAUUCUUAAAACUGUAUAUAGUAUUUUUUUUGUCGUGUAAAUGUUUUAAUUUUUUUUUUUUUUGGGGUUGAAAUCAUAUGUCAAUGCGUUCAGCUUUGACUUUAUAUAAACUAUUGAUCCUCCUGCUAAUAAUAAAUUGAGCAAUAAAUAAUAUAUAUUUUGGCUGGCCGA